Molecule: ribosomal RNA, 810 nt
Filed under: uncultured euryarchaeote
Lineage: Archaea; Methanobacteriati; Methanobacteriota
Description: bacterial SSU rRNA
Rfam family: Archaeal small subunit ribosomal RNA
Source: RNAcentral
AGCAUGCUAGUUGCACGAGUUGAGACUCGUAGCAGAUAGCUCAGUAACACGUGGCCAAACUACCCUAUGGAUCCGGACAACCUCGGGAAACUGAGGCUAAUCCGGAAUACGACUCUCAGCCUGGAAGUGGCGGGAGUCAGAAACGCCCCGGCGCCAUAGGAUGUGGCUGCGGCCGAUUAGGUAGACGGUGGGGUAACGGCCCACCGUGCCCAUAAUCGGUACGGGUUGUGAGAGCAAGAACCCGGAGACGGUAUCUGAGACAAGAUACCGGGCCCUACGGGGCGCAGCAGGCGCGAAACCUUUACACUGCACGAAAGUGCGAUAAGGGGACUCCAAGUGCGAGGGCAUAUAGUCCUCGCUUUUCACCACCGUAAGGAGGUGGUAGAAUAAGUGCUGGGCAAGACCGGUGCCAGCCGCCGCGGUAAUACCGGCAGCACGAGUGAUGACCGCUCUUAUUGGGCCUAAAGCGUCCGUAGCUGGCCACGCAAGUCUAUCGGGAAAUCCGCGCGCUCAACGCGCGGGCGUCCGGUGGAAACUGUGUGGCUUGGGACCGGAAGAUCCAGAGGGUACGUCUGGGGUAGGAGUGAAAUCCCGUAAUCCUGGACGGACCACCGGUGGCGAAAGCGCUCUGGAAAGACGGAUCCGACGGUGAGGGACGAAAGCUCGGGUCACGAACCGGAUUAGAUACCCGGGUAGUCCGAGCUGUAAACGAUGUCUGCUAGAUGUGCCACAGGCUACGAGCCUGUGGUGUGUCGUAGGGAAGCCGUGAAGCAGACCGCCUGGGAAGUACGUCCGCAAGGAUGAACUUAA